AGGAUAUUAGUUAAUUCCCAUAACAUUUAAUUUGCAAUUAAAAAUUAUAUACUUAAUUUAUUUAUAUAUAUCUUA
This 75-nucleotide transfer RNA is filed under the name Pheidole fervens. Its description in RNAcentral is "tRNA-Ala". Lineage: Eukaryota; Metazoa; Arthropoda; Insecta; Hymenoptera; Formicidae. The record is from RNAcentral.